GUGCUCGCUUCAGCAGCACAUACACUAAAACUGGAACAAUACAGAGAUUAGCAUGGCCCCUGUGCAAGGAUGACAGGCAAAUUCGUGAACCAUUCCAUAUUUAA
Molecule: small nuclear RNA, 104 nt
Organism: Leopardus geoffroyi (Geoffroy's cat)
Lineage: Eukaryota; Metazoa; Chordata; Mammalia; Carnivora; Felidae
Source: RefSeq, a predicted model, not a curated record